RNAcentral lists this small nucleolar RNA (129 nucleotides) under Cebus imitator (Panamanian white-faced capuchin). RNAcentral describes it as "Small nucleolar RNA SNORA31 (ENSCCAG00000005007.1)". The record is from RNAcentral. Lineage: Eukaryota; Metazoa; Chordata; Mammalia; Primates; Cebidae.
CUGCAUCUAUGUGACAGACCCAUAACAGUUACUGUCUGCCACUAAGGUUUCCACUACAGAUGCAAGUUUAAAAGAAAGUCCUUGUGCUUUCUAAUUGUGGCAGCCAAUCUUGAAUGGGGGAAUACAGGC